AUCACUUCUCAGCCUUUUGGCUAAGACCAAGUGUAGUGUCUAUUCUUAUCAGUUCAAUAUGUGACAUAUCCUCUACCUGAGGACAAUACCUUAAGUGAAUUUUUGAAACAGGGAGUUGGAAUAGGAACUUGCUCUGUCCACUCCACGCCUCAACCUGGUAUUGUAGUACUUUCAGUGUACCCCCU
This is a small nuclear RNA of Otolemur garnettii (small-eared galago), 185 nucleotides long. Its record names the gene U2. It matches the Rfam family "U2 spliceosomal RNA". From Rfam's summary of the family: U2 is a small nuclear RNA (snRNA) component of the spliceosome (involved in pre-mRNA splicing). Complementary binding between U2 snRNA (in an area lying towards the 5' end but 3' to hairpin I) and the branchpoint sequence (BPS) of the intron results the bulging out of an unpaired adenosine, on the BPS, which initiates a nucleophilic attack at the intronic 5' splice site, thus starting the first of two transesterification reactions that mediate splicing. The record is from Ensembl. NCBI's taxonomy places the organism in Eukaryota, Metazoa, Chordata, Mammalia, Primates, Galagidae.